UCCUGAUUUUCAAGACACAUUUCUGUGGUC
RNAcentral lists this non-coding RNA (30 nucleotides) under Mus musculus (house mouse). The record is from RNAcentral. Lineage: Eukaryota; Metazoa; Chordata; Mammalia; Rodentia; Muridae.